Molecule: unclassified non-coding RNA, 208 nt
Filed under: Hevea brasiliensis (rubber tree)
Lineage: Eukaryota; Viridiplantae; Streptophyta; Magnoliopsida; Malpighiales; Euphorbiaceae
Source: RNAcentral
CUCUUUUCUUUCCUGAAAAAGGUUGAUGCUUAAUCUCAGAACUAGUCACUAGUAGGGGAUACCACCUCUCUCUCUCUAUAACAACGUCUACAUGCUUGUGAGUUGUGAGUUUGUAGCUGGAUUCGACUUGUCUGAUAAAACUCAUGCCACUUCUUUUGCAUAGGUAAGCUACAAUGUAACCAUGAUCGAUUAUAUUCCCAGUUCUUUU